GACGUAGGUGGCAAGCGUUGUUCGGAGUUACUGGGCGUAAAGGGCGCGCAGGCGGCUUGGCAAGUCGAGUGUGAAAUACCUCAGCUUAACUGAGGAACGGCGCUCGAAACUACCUCGCUUGAGGGCGGGAGAGGGAAGUGGAACUCUCGGUGUAGGGGUGAAAUCUGUAGAUAUCGAGAGGAACACCGGUGGCGAAGGCGGCUUCCUGGCCCGUACCUGACGCUGAGGCGCGAAAGCUAGGGGAGCAAACAGG
Molecule: ribosomal RNA, 253 nt
Filed under: uncultured bacterium
Lineage: Bacteria
Description: partial 16S ribosomal RNA
Rfam family: Bacterial small subunit ribosomal RNA
Source: RNAcentral